UAGAGAGCUAGAAUAGACAGAUUUUGAGAUAUUUAUCGUUAAAUGUAAAAUAGCUGACAUUUGCGGAAGCAUUGCAGAAUUUAUUGAUUGAGCGUUAAUAAUAUUUGUAGAAGACAUUAUACAACUCGAUAAUUCUUCUACUAACGUUAACUUCCUAACAGGUAUUUUUAAUUCACUCAAAACUCUGAUCAAUUGAAACAGGUUCACAUUAUCAUAUGCACCCUCAACAUCCAGAAAUACACAUAUUGCAUUAGAGUGAGCAAAGAUAGAAUUUUUGAUGUCAGCAAUGAAUGAAACGAAGCCUUCAACUGCACUUUUACCUUUUCUGAAACCUAGUUGAUAAUCAGGU
Melitaea cinxia (Glanville fritillary) is the source of this 349-nucleotide long non-coding RNA. RefSeq lists it as uncharacterized. NCBI's taxonomy places the organism in Eukaryota, Metazoa, Arthropoda, Insecta, Lepidoptera, Nymphalidae. The transcript has 2 exons. The record is from RefSeq and is a predicted model, not a curated record.